This 394-nucleotide ribosomal RNA is filed under the name uncultured bacterium. RNAcentral describes it as "partial 16S ribosomal RNA". It matches the Rfam family "Bacterial small subunit ribosomal RNA", at positions 523 to 918 of the family's 1533-position model. The record is from RNAcentral.
AUACGGAGGAUGCGAGCGUUAUCCGGAUUUAUUGGGUUUAAAGGGAGCGUAGGCGGGAGCUUAAGUCAGCGGUUAAAUGGUGCGGCUCAACCGUGCCCUGCCGUUGAAACUGGGUUUCUUGAGAGUGCAAGAGGCGGAUGGAAUUCAUGGUGUAGCGGUGAAAUGCUUAGAUAUCAUGAAGAACUCCGAUUGCGAAGGCAGUCCGCUGGGGCACGUCUGACGCUGAUGCUCGAAGGUGCGGGAAUCAAACAGGAUUAGAUACCCUGGUAGUCCACACCGUAAACGAUGAGCACUAGGUGUCGGGCUCGCAAGAGUUCGGUGCCGCAGUUAACGCAUUAAGUGCUCCGCCUGGGGAGUACGUACGCAAGUAUGAAACUCAAAUGAAUUGGCGGGG